GACGAACGCUGGCGGCGUGCUUAACACAUGCAAGUCGAACGGAAAGGCCCUGCUUUUGUGGGGUGCUCGAGUGGCGAACGGGUGAGUAACACGUGAGUAACCUGCCCUUGACUUUGGGAUAACUUCAGGAAACUGGGGCUAAUACCGGAUAGGAUCUCCUGCUGCAUGGUGGGGGUUGGAAAGUUUCGGCGGUUGGGGAUGGACUCGCGGCUUAUCAGCUUGUUGGUGAGGUAGUGGCUUACCAAGGCUUUGACGGGUAGCCGGCCUGAGAGGGUGACCGGCCACAUUGGGACUGAGGUACGGCCCAGAAUCCUACGGGAGGCAGCAGUGGGGAAUAUUGCACAAUGGGCGGAAGCCUGAUGCAGCAACGCCGCGUGCGGGAUGACGGCCUUCGGGUUGUAAACCGCUUUCGCCUGUGACGAAGCGUGAGUGACGGUAAUGGGUCAAGAAGCACCGGCUAACUACGUG
RNAcentral lists this ribosomal RNA (468 nucleotides) under uncultured bacterium. RNAcentral describes it as "partial 16S ribosomal RNA". It matches the Rfam family "Bacterial small subunit ribosomal RNA", at positions 28 to 507 of the family's 1533-position model. The record is from RNAcentral.